RNAcentral lists this small nucleolar RNA (129 nucleotides) under Labrus bergylta (ballan wrasse). RNAcentral describes it as "Small nucleolar RNA SNORA63 (ENSLBEG00000015476.1)". The record is from RNAcentral. Lineage: Eukaryota; Metazoa; Chordata; Actinopteri; Labriformes; Labridae.
GUGCAGGAUAAGUUACAAUGCAGCUGGUUUGGUACUGCUUUGUCGUUCCCCCUGCAAACAAUAACUUGUUUCCAGCUAUCCCUGUCUGUCUACAUCCUUGGACAACCAGGGACGCAAGGUUUCAGACAC